CUUAAGCAUAUCAAUAAGCGGAGGAAAAGAAACCAACAGGGAUUGCCCUAGUAACGGCGAGUGAAGCGGCAACAGCUCAAAUUUGAAAUCUGGCCCUUGUGGUCCGAGUUGUAAUUUGUAGAGGAUGCUUUUGGUGAGGUGCCUUCCGAGUUCCCUGGAACGGGACGCCAUAGAGGGUGAGAGCCCCGUCUGGUUGGACACCGAGCCUCUGUAAAGCUCCUUCGACGAGUCGAGUAGUUUGGGAAUGCUGCUCUAAAUGGGAGGUAUAUGUCUUCUAAAGCUAAAUACCGGCCAGAGACCGAUAGCGCACAAGUAGAGUGAUCGAAAGAUGAAAAGCACUUUGAAAAGAGGGUUAAAUAGUACGUGAAAUUGUUGAAAGGGAAGCGCUUGUGACCAGACUUGAGCCCGGUUAAUCAUCCAGCCUUCUGGCUGGUGCACUUGGCCGGCUCAGGCCAGCAUCAGUUCGGCGCGGGGGAUAAAGGCUUCGGGAAUGUGGCUCCUCCGGGAGUGUUAUAGCCCGUUGUGUAAUACCCUGCGCUGGACUGAGGUUCGCGCAUCUGCAAGGAUGCUGGCGUAAUGGUCAUCAGCGACCCGUCUUGAAACACGGACCAAGGAGUCGUCUUCGUAUGCGAGUGUUCGGGUGUCAAACCCCUACGCGUAAUGAAAGUGAACGCAGGUGAGAGCUUCGGCGCAUCAUCGACCGAUCCUGAUGUUCUCGGACGGAUUUGAGUAAGAGCAUACGGGGCCGGACCCGAAAGAAGGUGAACUAUGCCUGUAUAGGGUGAAGCCAGAGGAAACUCUGGUGGAGGCUCGCAGCGGUUCUGACGUGCAAAUCGAUCGUCAAAUAUGGGCAUGGGGGCGAAAGACUAAUCGAACCUUCUAGUAGCUGGUUUCCGCCGAAGUC
Molecule: ribosomal RNA, 904 nt
Filed under: Cosmosporella pruni
Lineage: Eukaryota; Fungi; Ascomycota; Sordariomycetes; Hypocreales; Nectriaceae
Description: Cosmosporella sp. RHP-2022a partial large subunit ribosomal RNA
Rfam family: Eukaryotic large subunit ribosomal RNA
Source: RNAcentral